UGAUCCUGACUGCAAUGCAAGCAAGAGCGGACAUAGCAAGUUUUCUCCACGUAUGUGGAGG
RNAcentral lists this small RNA (61 nucleotides) under Lactobacillus acidophilus. Its description in RNAcentral is "crRNA_07". Lineage: Bacteria; Bacillati; Bacillota; Bacilli; Lactobacillales; Lactobacillaceae. The record is from RNAcentral.